Molecule: ribosomal RNA, 253 nt
Filed under: uncultured bacterium
Lineage: Bacteria
Description: partial 16S ribosomal RNA
Rfam family: Bacterial small subunit ribosomal RNA
Source: RNAcentral
UACGAAGGGGGCUAGCGUUGUUCGGAUUUACUGGGCGUAAAGCGCACGUAGGCGGAUCGUUAAGUCGGGGGUGAAAUCCUGGAGCUCAACUCCAGAACUGCCUUCGAUACUGGCGAUCUUGAGUCCGGAAGAGGUGAGUGGAACUCCUAGUGUAGAGGUGGAAUUCGUAGAUAUUAGGAAGAACACCGGUGGCGAAGGCGGGUCUCUGGGCCGAAACUGACGCUGAGGAGCGAAAGCGUGGGGAGCAAACAGG